ACCUCAUAUGCUAAAUAGUGAAAGAUUUUUCGCCUAAGGAUGAGCUUACGUCUGAUUAGCUAGUUGGCAAAUUAAAAGCUUACCAAGGCAACGAUCAGUAGCUGGUUUGAGAGAAUGAUCAGCCACACUGGAACUGAGACACGGUCCAGACUUUUACGGAAGGCAGCAGUGGGGAAUUUUCCGCAAUGGGCGAAAGCCUGACGGAGCAAUACCGCGUGAGGGAAGAAUGCCUGUGGGUUGUAAACCUCUUUUCUUAAGGAAGAAAAAUGACGGUACUUAAAGAAUAAGCAUCGGCUAACUCCGUGCCAGCAGCCGCGGUAAUACGGGGGAUGCAAGUGUUAUCCGGAAUUAUUGGGCGUAAAGCGUCUGUAGGUGGUUAAAUAAGUCGGUUGUUAAAUAUUGAGGCUCAACCUUGAAUCAGCAGCCGAAACUGCUUGACUAGAGUAUGGUAUGGGUAGGGGGAAUUCCCAGUGUAGCGGUGAAAUGCGUAGAUAUUGGGAAGAACACCAGAAGCGAAGGCGCCCUACUAGGCCAUUACUGACACUCAGAGACGAAAGCUAG
This 561-nucleotide ribosomal RNA is filed under the name Gracilaria corticata. RNAcentral describes it as "SSU rRNA". It matches the Rfam family "Bacterial small subunit ribosomal RNA", at positions 168 to 763 of the family's 1533-position model. The record is from RNAcentral. Lineage: Eukaryota; Rhodophyta; Florideophyceae; Gracilariales; Gracilariaceae.